GCGGCAGAGAUCGCGGUGACUGCUACUGUGCGCCGCUUCACGGCACUGCUGGGCGGCGGCACCACCGUGGUACAAGCAGGCGAGCCGCAGGCGAAUGACGAUGGGGCGAUGUGGUUCCGACCGGCGGC
This 128-nucleotide small nucleolar RNA is filed under the name Sorghum bicolor (sorghum). RNAcentral's name for it is "Small nucleolar RNA Z206". It matches the Rfam family "Small nucleolar RNA Z206". From Rfam's summary of the family: Z206 is a member of the C/D class of snoRNA which contain the C (UGAUGA) and D (CUGA) box motifs. Most of the members of the box C/D family function in directing site-specific 2'-O-methylation of substrate RNAs. The record is from Rfam by way of RNAcentral. Lineage: Eukaryota; Viridiplantae; Streptophyta; Magnoliopsida; Poales; Poaceae.